AUCCGGUACUUGUAUAUGGAUGGAUAAUAUUAUAAAAUAUAAUAUGCGACACGAUAAUAAUGACUGGUGAUUGAAGAAAGAAUAUGGGUAGCUGGCACGACAAGAUGAGGCAGAACGAUCCGAUUCUGAGCAUGGGAAGAAAGCAAGUAGUUGAAGAAGAAGAAGAAUCUGAAUCUCCGUUGCUGGGCAAGUCAAACGCAUGGUUUAGUGGUUGUGUGUUCAAUCUGUCAACGACGAUCAUUGGCGCUGGGAUCAUGGCCUUACCUGCGGCCAUCAAAGUUGUGGGUCUGGCUGUGGGCAUUGCUGCCAUUCUCUUUCUUGCCUUUCUCACACACACCUCUUUAGAAAUUCUCCUGAGGUUUAGCAGACUUGGCAACGCUGCCACUUACGCUGACCUCAUGGGUUACGCUUUUGGAACGCUUGGCAGAUUGCUACUUCAUAUAUCCGUUCUCGUCAACAACUUUGGAAUACUUGUUGUCUACAUGAUCAUAAUCGGUGAUGUGUUAUCUGGAACAUCUUCAAGUGGGAUUCAUCAUUUUGGGGUACUUGAAGGAUGGUUUGGUCAAUGCUGGUGGACUUCCCGUAGUUUUGUUCUUCUUGUGGCAACCCUUUUUGUUUUCGCUCCAUUGGGAUUCUUUAAGAGGAUAGAUUCAUUGAGAUACACUUCUGCUUUAGCAGUGGCUCUCGCUGUUGUGUUUCUAAUCAUAACUGCUGGAAUCACAUUCAUCAAGUUGCUUAAUGGCAGUAUAGCCAGUCCCAGGUUGCUUCCUAGUAUUACUGAUAUUACAUCAGUGUUCAAUCUCUUUACGGCAGUUCCAGUCUUUGUGACGGCAUUUGUUUGUCAUUACAAUGUGCAUACAAUAAACAAUGAAUUAGGAGACUCUUCCCUGAUACAACCAGUAAUACGUGCAUCACUGGUUCUAUGUUCUAGUAUCUAUAUUCUUACAGCAUUAUUUGGAUUUCUUCUAUUUGGUGAGUCAACACUUGAUGAUGUGCUAGCCAACUUUGACACUGAUCUGGGCAUCCCUUACAGCAGUUUUCUCAAUGACAUUGUUCGUAUCAGCUAUGCCAUCCACCUCAUCCUUGUUUUCCCAGUUAUCUUCUUCUCACUGCGCUUCAAUUUGGAUGAUCUUAUCUUUCAUUCAGCUAGGUCGUUGAACUUGGAUAACUGUAGGUUUGUCUUGAUCACCACUGGACUAGUCACUUUAGUCUAUGUGGCUGCAAAUUUUAUACCUAGCAUCUGGGAUGCAUUUCAAUUCACUGGAGCAACUGCCACUGUUUGCCUUGGGUUUAUUUUCCCUGCUGCAAUUGCUCUAAGGGAUCCCCACGACAUUGCAACAAAGAAGGACAAGAUUUUAUCCGUUGUCAUGAUUUGUGUGGCUUUGUUUUCGAAUGUUGUGGCCAUUUACAGUAAUGCCGAUGCCUUGUUCAGAAAAUAGGUUGAUCCUCAUUAAUGAGUUACUCGCACCCUACAUUAGAAUUAAAGAGAAGAAAAUCCAGCAAUUGUGGAAGGAAAAUUGCAAGUACAAGUGGGACACUUACGGACAUUGGAAUCUCUUAACGCACUUAUAUAGAGUGGUGCCCAAUUAAUGCGAGUCGUGUUUGGUUUUCGACUAUUUUUUUCAGUUAUCCCUCGAAUAAUUAAAACUGUUAUCAAAGCACUGGUUGUAAAAUUAUGAGAUAUACCUUCCAUGAUCCAAAUGACCACUGUUUGGUAAUUUGUGCCAAAUUCUCUCUCAAAAACCUCCUUUCAAAAGUUUUACUGGAACCAAGACAUGAAAAGUAUCAAAUCGAAUCAUUAAUCAACUUUUGUAUCCAGUGAGGUACAAUAAGUUAAUGAUAAGUCUUACUUAAAUCCAACUUUGCAUAUUUAUGUGUAAUUGUAUGAUCGAACUUCAACAGUCUCACCUAGUGCUAGAAUCGAACUAUUGCCAAUCUCUUGUAACAUGUCUCCUAAAUUCCAACUACCACUUUAAGUGAAAAUGUAUGAAGAAACGAAAGAACAGCAUAUAUUCAUCCAUGUACAAUUUGAAACU
RNA transcript from Abrus precatorius (Indian licorice), 2036 nucleotides. It is a transcript of the gene named amino acid transporter AVT6A-like, with no coding region annotated. NCBI's taxonomy places the organism in Eukaryota, Viridiplantae, Streptophyta, Magnoliopsida, Fabales, Fabaceae. The record is from RefSeq and is a predicted model, not a curated record. The transcript is spliced from 6 exons.